This 77-nucleotide transfer RNA is filed under the name Helianthus annuus (common sunflower). RNAcentral describes it as "tRNA-Ile". It matches the Rfam family "tRNA". From Rfam's summary of the family: Transfer RNA (tRNA) molecules are approximately 80 nucleotides in length. Their secondary structure includes four short double-helical elements and three loops (D, anti-codon, and T loops). Lineage: Eukaryota; Viridiplantae; Streptophyta; Magnoliopsida; Asterales; Asteraceae. The record is from RNAcentral.
GAGGCUUAUAGUUUAAUUGGUUGAAAAGUACUAAUUAUAACGGUAAUAUUGAAGGUUCGAACCCUGCUAAACCUACG